CGUAGGUGGCAGCGUUGUCCGGAUUACUGGCGUAGGAGCGUAGGUGGAUAUUAAGUGGAUGUGAAUACUCGGCUUAACUUGAGUGCUGCAUUCCAACUGGAUAUCUAGAGUGCAGGAGAGGAAGUAGAAUUCCUAGUGUAGCGGUGAAAUGCGUAGAGAUUAGGAAGAAUACCAGUGGCGAAGGCGACUUUCUGGACUGUAACUGACACUGAGGCUCGAAAGCGUGGGAGCAAACAGGAUU
Molecule: ribosomal RNA, 241 nt
Filed under: uncultured bacterium
Lineage: Bacteria
Description: partial 16S ribosomal RNA
Rfam family: Bacterial small subunit ribosomal RNA
Source: RNAcentral